Long non-coding RNA from Manis pentadactyla (Chinese pangolin), 974 nucleotides. RefSeq lists it as uncharacterized. The transcript is spliced from 3 exons. The record is from RefSeq and is a predicted model, not a curated record. NCBI's taxonomy places the organism in Eukaryota, Metazoa, Chordata, Mammalia, Pholidota, Manidae.
AUAAAAUUGUAUUUCCUUUAGGCUUUUCUGAAUAUUAAUGAUCUAAAACAUAACUGAAAUCAAAUUAUAUCAGCAGUAACAGCAAAAACAAUGGAUAGAAUGAAGGUAAAUGUAAAAGUGCCAAACCUUUUGCCUGUCUGCAGUAACAUGUAGAAACUCAUAAAAUUUUUGGUGGUCAGCCAAGUGCUAUUUAAUAACCUUUAGUUCUCGGACACAAAAUUUUUUAGCGAAUUCACAGAGUUACUAUCAUUUUGAUUGUUGCCAAGGAAUCGUUUUAAGUAUAUAGGGUCCUCGGUUCAUUGAGUUAUCCAGUUUACUCCAUUAAACAGCAGAAGUAUCCAUACAGAGCAUGAGGACUGGAAACCUGAUCCUCCAGGGUCAACGCCAAGCCUCGAGACUGCACCGCCUUCCUCGUUAAAGAUGAGCCAUCGCAUCUGACAGUAAAAGCUGCGGAGAAGGAAGGACUCUGGCUUGUUUUGGAAUAAACCAAACUUCAGUACUCUGCCUCAAGGUCCAUUUUAUUGAAAUCAGUUUCAGGUGGAUGUUCCUGACAUUAGACUGAUAAUAUAAGCUUUUAAAAAGUAGAAAUGCUGUGUUUAUUCUCUGACUAAACCUAAUGUCCAGAGAGUGGAUUCACAGUUUUUAUGCCAAAAGCAAUUGAUCUGUAUCACCAAACAUCUGGCAAGGCCUGAAAAAAACUUAAAGCAAUGCCGGACAAUGUAGGUGGGCACGCGGAUGCUUACCUGUGAAUUUAACUGAUAAAUAGAUAAAUGCUACCAAAGUGAUUGAAUUAACAGAUGUAUCCUCUACUUCCUAAAAUUCUUUAGCACAGGAGGAACUAAAUGAGGGCAAGAGGAUCUUCUGAAUUGGCUUUGUGACACAUGAUCAGCCAAACCACUGGAAGACUGAGCUGUUGCGGCUGCUGCCUCUGAAAUUCAAUAAAUAAAAAGCUGGCCAUGGUCUGUGAGUCUGGC